GAAUACAGUUGAUUGUGAAUUUGCGUUCGCAAUAGACAAAAAGUUGUACAAGAAUAUUCUUCUUCGUUGAAACUCUACGAAUUCUAAGAGAUGGCUUCCCUGAGACUUUUCAUCUUUGCAAUUUUCUUGCUCGGUGUGGUGGAACUCAUUAAUGCAGCUCCAGGUCCAGAUCCAAUGUUCUACCCUUAUGGCGGCGGCUACGGAUCGGGAAGCUUUGAAAGUGGAGAGUUCUAUGGAGGCUACGGCUACAUGCCAUACGGAAUGUACCCAAGGAUGGGCAUGGGAUACUACCCCUACGGAAAGAAAUAAACGGACCAGUAGUGGAUGAACUUUAACCUUUUGAUUGAUCAUGAAUUGGAGCAAAUAAAUGAAGGAACUUUGAUACUGAAGCACCUGAAGUAAGCUACAGGCAGAAGAAAAUGUUUUCUUUUACAUAUUUUUGGAUUCCUUAAAAAACAUGCACAGAAUUCAGGGGGUAGACAAAGCCCUUUUUUACUCGAACACAGCAAAUAAUGGCGGACGGUUUGCAGAGAAAUUAAAGGAAGAAAAUGACGUCACUUUAUUUCCAAAAAGUGCAUCAAAAUUUUUAAAAUCAGUUUUAGUGCAUUAAUCUUCGUGAGACACCCCUCAAAAGCUAUCAAUCGAUAGAAUAUUAAAUUAUCUAUCCAGUGGUGGUGGAUUUUUUCAGAUUGAAGCAUUUUCCUGGGUGUCUCAGCGAGUGAGCAGUGAAUUCCUAUGGAAAUAGAGUCUUUGUCUACCCCCUGACAGAAUUAAAAAAAAAUAUAUAUUGCAAAAGAAAAAUAAAAAUUGUUUACAAAAA
Molecule: long non-coding RNA, 820 nt
Organism: Lutzomyia longipalpis
Lineage: Eukaryota; Metazoa; Arthropoda; Insecta; Diptera; Psychodidae
Exons: 3
Source: RefSeq, a predicted model, not a curated record